RNAcentral lists this ribosomal RNA (497 nucleotides) under uncultured bacterium. Its description in RNAcentral is "partial 16S ribosomal RNA". It matches the Rfam family "Bacterial small subunit ribosomal RNA", at positions 28 to 507 of the family's 1533-position model. The record is from RNAcentral.
GAUGAACGCUGGCGGCGUGCCUAAUACAUGCAAGUCGAGCGAACAGAUAAGGAGCUUGCUCCUUUGACGUUAGCGGCGGACGGGUGAGUAACACGUGGGUAACCUACCUAUAAGACUGGGAUAACUUCGGGAAACCGGAGCUAAUACCGGAUAACAUUUGGAACCGCAUGGUUCUAAAGUGAAAGAUGGUUUUGCUAUCACUUAUAGAUGGACCCGCGCCGUAUUAGCUAGUUGGUAAGGUAACGGCUUACCAAGGCGACGAUACGUAGCCGACCUGAGAGGGUGAUCGGCCACACUGGAACUGAGACACGGUCCAGACUCCUACGGGAGGCAGCAGUAGGGAAUCUUCCGCAAUAGGCGAAAGCCUGACGGAGCAACGCCGCGUGAGUGAUGAAGGGUUUCGGCUCGUAAAACUCUGUUAUUAGGGAAGAACAAAUGUGUAAGUAACUGUGCACGUCUUGACGGCACCUAAUCAGAAAGCCACGGCUAACUACGUG